GCUAAAUCCGGGCAAGCGUCCGGGUGAAUACGGGGGGUGGAAGCGUUAUCCGGGUUUAUGGGGUGUAAAGGGUCGGUAGGCGGGUUCGUAAGGCAGUGGUGAAAGCCGUCAGAUUAACUGUAGAACUGCCGUUGAUACUGCGAGUCUUGAGUAAAUUUGAAGUGGCUGGAAUAAGUAGUGUAGCGGUGAAAUGCAUAGAUAUUACUUAGAACACCAAUUGCGAAGGCAGGUCACUAAGAUUUAACUGACGCUGAUGGACGAAAGCGUGGGGAGCGAACAGGAUUAGAUACCCCAGUAGUC
Molecule: ribosomal RNA, 300 nt
Filed under: uncultured Clostridium sp.
Lineage: Bacteria; Bacillati; Bacillota; Clostridia; Eubacteriales; Clostridiaceae
Description: bacterial SSU rRNA
Rfam family: Bacterial small subunit ribosomal RNA
Source: RNAcentral